This 130-nucleotide ribosomal RNA is filed under the name Fusarium cf. 'incarnatum-equiseti'. RNAcentral's name for it is "Fusarium cf. incarnatum-equiseti partial large subunit ribosomal RNA". It matches the Rfam family "Eukaryotic large subunit ribosomal RNA", at positions 1 to 129 of the family's 3401-position model. The record is from RNAcentral. Lineage: Eukaryota; Fungi; Ascomycota; Sordariomycetes; Hypocreales; Nectriaceae.
UUGACCUCGGAUCAGGUAGGAAUACCCGCUGAACUUAAGCAUAUCAAUAAGCGGAGGAAAAGAAACCAACAGGGAUUGCCCUAGUAACGGCGAGUGAAGCGGCAACAGCUCAAAUUUGAAAUCUGGCUCU